RNAcentral lists this ribosomal RNA (253 nucleotides) under uncultured bacterium. Its description in RNAcentral is "partial 16S ribosomal RNA". It matches the Rfam family "Bacterial small subunit ribosomal RNA", at positions 524 to 776 of the family's 1533-position model. The record is from RNAcentral.
UACGUAGGUGACAAGCGUUGUCCGGAUUUACUGGGCGUAAAGAGCGCGCAGGCGGUCGAUCAAGUCGCGUGUGAAAGCCCCCGGCUCAACUGGGGAGGGUCAUUCGAUACUGAUCGACUCGAAGGCAGGAGAGGGUAGUGGAAUUCCCGGUGUAGUGGUGAAAUGCGUAGAUAUCGGGAGGAACACCAGUGGCGAAGGCGACUACCUGGCCUGUUCUUGACGCUGAGGCGCGAAAGCUAGGGGAGCAAACGGG